Pyrenochaeta sp. DS3sAY3a is the source of this 140-nucleotide non-coding RNA. NCBI's taxonomy places the organism in Eukaryota, Fungi, Ascomycota, Dothideomycetes, Pleosporales, Cucurbitariaceae. The record is from the annotation of a GenBank genome assembly.
GUCUCCUUAGCUCAAUUGGGAGAGCGCCAGACUGAAGUCUUCGGUCAUUAAAUCUGGAGGGUGAGUUUCUUCAUCUGAUUGGUCAGUGUGAAUUUUCACUAACGAAAAAUCAGUAUCGUGUUCGAUCCACGAAGGGGACA